RNAcentral lists this ribosomal RNA (377 nucleotides) under Yersinia enterocolitica subsp. palearctica YE-149. RNAcentral describes it as "bacterial SSU rRNA". It matches the Rfam family "Bacterial small subunit ribosomal RNA", at positions 1 to 374 of the family's 1533-position model. Lineage: Bacteria; Pseudomonadati; Pseudomonadota; Gammaproteobacteria; Enterobacterales; Yersiniaceae. The record is from RNAcentral.
AAAUUGAAGAGUUUGAUCAUGGCUCAGAUUGAACGCUGGCGGCAGGCCUAACACAUGCAAGUCGAGCGGCAGCGGGAAGUAGUUUACUACUUUGCCGGCGAGCGGCGGACGGGUGAGUAAUGUCUGGGAAACUGCCUGAUGGAGGGGGAUAACUACUGGAAACGGUAGCUAAUACCGCAUAACGUCUUCGGACCAAAGUGGGGGACCUUCGGGCCUCACGCCAUCGGAUGUGCCCAGAUGGGAUUAGCUAGUAGGUGGGGUAAUGGCUCACCUAGGCGACGAUCCCUAGCUGGCCUGAGAGGAUGACCAGCCACACUGGAACUGAGACCCGGUCCAGACUCCUACGGGAGGCAGCAGGGGGGAAUAUUGCACCAUGG